Podarcis lilfordi (Lilford's wall lizard) is the source of this 79-nucleotide non-coding RNA. The record is from the annotation of a GenBank genome assembly. Lineage: Eukaryota; Metazoa; Chordata; Lepidosauria; Squamata; Lacertidae.
GGAAAUAUGCAGCUCAGUGGCAAAGCAUCUGCUUUGCGUGCAGAGGGUCCCAGGUUCAAAUCCAAAUUUAUUUGCUCCU